CUGGGAAAAGGGGCUCGGCGAGGCGGUGUGCGCGGUGACUCAGCGCAGAGGUCGCCUCCGCGCCCGGUCUCCGGGCUUUGCCCGCUGUGCCCUCCUUGGGCCUCAGCCGUCCUGUGCGCUGUUCGGCUGCUGGAAGCCCUGAGUGUCUCGAAAGUUUUGAUUUGGCACCGGGAAGGGCUUUGAAGUUGCUCAGAGUUAGGGGAGAGACCACCGGUUUCCGGAGGCCUUUGGGGGACGUGAAGAACGUCAGAGAGAUUGGUGUUGGCAGUUACCAGGUUGCGGUUUGCACCUGCGGCCAGCCCGGGGACUGAGAUUUGAAAAGAUUGUCUUACCUCCCUUACCCCGCCAGAAGCUCAGAGCAUUUGGUAUCCAAACUGCCCUUUCCUCCUGUCCUUGAGGAUUAGAAACCCAGUCCUCCCUUGGCACUUUGCGCUACCUCUGUCUGGAUAAGGAAACCGACUAGUGAAACAACUUGAGGAAUGGAGAUGUAAACAGCUAAGCUGCCACCUGCCUCUCCGGGACCGUAUCUUGUGUAUGGUACUUCCUCUGUGGAUGUUUGUGCAAUGGAUGGAUGAAUGAAUGAAUGAGGAGCAAACACACAUAGGAUUAGAUGGUGCAUCUCCCUGAAGAUCCUUAGUGUGCCUGUUCUCCAUGGGACCGGAGGCUCUCUGCAAAGAAACUCUCAAGUCACCAGCUGCUAAGGCCAGCUGGGAGGAGCCUAGCUCGUCUCAGCCGAGUUCUCGUGUAGGCCCAAAGACUAGAUCCAACGUCGAAGGAUGUGGUUUUUUGGCUUCCAAAUCAGGUAGGUAACUCUGGGUAAGUCACUUCAGCUCUCUAUGCCUCCGUAUCCUCAUGUGUA
Leptonychotes weddellii (Weddell seal) is the source of this 859-nucleotide long non-coding RNA. RefSeq lists it as uncharacterized. The record is from RefSeq and is a predicted model, not a curated record. Lineage: Eukaryota; Metazoa; Chordata; Mammalia; Carnivora; Phocidae.